This 38-nucleotide small nuclear RNA is filed under the name Cervus elaphus hippelaphus. Lineage: Eukaryota; Metazoa; Chordata; Mammalia; Artiodactyla; Cervidae. The record is from RNAcentral.
AAGAUGACACGCAAAUUCGUGAAGCAUUCCAUAUUUUU